This 702-nucleotide ribosomal RNA is filed under the name Bacillus sp. (in: firmicutes). RNAcentral describes it as "bacterial SSU rRNA". It matches the Rfam family "Bacterial small subunit ribosomal RNA", at positions 78 to 763 of the family's 1533-position model. Lineage: Bacteria; Bacillati; Bacillota; Bacilli; Caryophanales; Bacillaceae. The record is from RNAcentral.
GCUUGCUCUUAUGAAGUUAGCGGCGGACGGGUGAGUAACACGUGGGUAACCUGCCCAUAAGACUGGGAUAACUCCGGGAAACCGGGGCUAAUACCGGAUAACAUUUUGCACCUCAUGGUGCGAAAUUGAAAGGCGGCUUCGGCUGUCACUUAUGGAUGGACCCGCGUCGCAUUAGCUAGUUGGUGAGGUAACGGCUCACCAAGGCGACGAUGCGUAGCCGACCUGAGAGGGUGAUCGGCCACACUGGGACUGAGACACGGCCCAGACUCCUACGGGAGGCAGCAGUAGGGAAUCUUCCGCAAUGGACGAAAGUCUGACGGAGCAACGCCGCGUGAGUGAUGAAGGCUUUCGGGUCGUAAAACUCUGUUGUUAGGGAAGAACAAGUGCUAGUUGAAUAAGCUGGCACCUUGACGGUACCUAACCAGAAAGCCACGGCUAACUACGUGCCAGCAGCCGCGGUAAUACGUAGGUGGCAAGCGUUAUCCGGAAUUAUUGGGCGUAAAGCGCGCGCAGGUGGUUUCUUAAGUCUGAUGUGAAAGCCCACGGCUCAACCGUGGAGGGUCAUUGGAAACUGGGAGACUUGAGUGCAGAAGAGGAAAGUGGAAUUCCAUGUGUAGCGGUGAAAUGCGUAGAGAUAUGGAGGAACACCAGUGGCGAAGGCGACUUUCUGGUCUGUAACUGACACUGAGGCGCGAAAGCGUG